This 253-nucleotide ribosomal RNA is filed under the name uncultured bacterium. Its description in RNAcentral is "partial 16S ribosomal RNA". It matches the Rfam family "Bacterial small subunit ribosomal RNA", at positions 524 to 776 of the family's 1533-position model. The record is from RNAcentral.
UACGUAGGGUGCAAGCGUUGUCCGGAAUUAUUGGGCGUAAAGAGCUCGUAGGCGGUCUGUCGCGUCUGCUGUGAAAACUCGGGGCUUAACCCCGGGCCUGCAGUGGGUACGGGCAGACUAGAGUGCGGUAGGGGAGACUGGAAUUCCUGGUGUAGCGGUGAAAUGCGCAGAUAUCAGGAGGAACACCGGUGGCGAAGGCGGUUCUCUGGGCCUGUACUGACGCUGAGGAGCGAAAGCGUGGGGAGCGAACAGG